RNAcentral lists this ribosomal RNA (1238 nucleotides) under Lactobacillus delbrueckii subsp. lactis. RNAcentral describes it as "bacterial SSU rRNA". It matches the Rfam family "Bacterial small subunit ribosomal RNA", at positions 39 to 1232 of the family's 1533-position model. The record is from RNAcentral. Lineage: Bacteria; Bacillati; Bacillota; Bacilli; Lactobacillales; Lactobacillaceae.
GCGGGGGAGUCUAUAAUGCAGUCGAGCGAGCUGAUUCAAAGAUCCCUUCGGGGUGAUUUGUUGGACGCUAGCGGCGGAUGGGUGAGUAACACGUGGGCAAUCUGCCCUAAAGACUGGGAUACCACUUGGAAACAGGUGCUAAUACCGGAUAACAACAUGAAUCGCAUGAUUCAAGUUUGAAAGGCGGCGCAAGCUGUCACUUUAGGAUGAGCCCGCGGCGCAUUAGCUAGUUGGUGGGGUAAAGGCCUACCAAGGCAAUGAUGCGUAGCCGAGUUGAGAGACUGAUCGGCCACAUUGGGACUGAGACACGGCCCAAACUCCUACGGGAGGCAGCAGUAGGGAAUCUUCCACAAUGGACGCAAGUCUGAUGGAGCAACGCCGCGUGAGUGAAGAAGGUUUUCGGAUCGUAAAGCUCUGUUGUUGGUGAAGAAGGAUAGAGGCAGUAACUGGUCUUUAUUUGACGGUAAUCAACCAGAAAGUCACGGCUAACUACGUGCCAGCAGCCGCGGUAAUACGUAGGUGGCAAGCGUUGUCCGGAUUUAUUGGGCGUAAAGCGAGCGCAGGCGGAAUGAUAAGUCUGAUGUGAAAGCCCACGGCUCAACCGUGGAACUGCAUCGGAAACUGUCAUUCUUGAGUGCAGAAGAGGAGAGUGGAACUCCAUGUGUAGCGGUGGAAUGCGUAGAUAUAUGGAAGAACACCAGUGGCGAAGGCGGCUCUCUGGUCUGCAACUGACGCUGAGGCUCGAAAGCAUGGGUAGCGAACAGGAUUAGAUACCCUGGUAGUCCAUGCCGUAAACGAUGAGCGCUAGGUGUUGGGGACUUUCCGGUCCUCAGUGCCGCAGCAAACGCAUUAAGCGCUCCGCCUGGGGAGUACGACCGCAAGGUUGAAACUCAAAGGAAUUGACGGGGGCCCGCACAAGCGGUGGAGCAUGUGGUUUAAUUCGAAGCAACGCGAAGAACCUUACCAGGUCUUGACAUCCUGCGACAACACCUAGAGAUAAGGUGGUUCCCUUCGGGGACGCAGAGACAGGUGGUGCAUGGCUGUCGUCAGCUCGUGUCGUGAGAUGUUGGGUUUAAGUCCCGCAACGAGCGCAACCCCUUGUCUUUAGUGCCAUCAUUAAAGUUGGGCACCUUCUAGAAGAAGACUGGCCGGUUGACAAACCGGAAGGCAGUGAGGAAUGAACGGUCCAGGUCAAUCCAUGUCCUCAUUAAUGGACCAUGGGGACCUUAACAACAACC